This 459-nucleotide ribosomal RNA is filed under the name uncultured bacterium. RNAcentral's name for it is "bacterial SSU rRNA". It matches the Rfam family "Bacterial small subunit ribosomal RNA", at positions 28 to 504 of the family's 1533-position model. The record is from RNAcentral.
GAUGAACGCUGACAGAAUGCUUAACACAUGCAAGUCGAUUCGAAGUUUCUUUCGGGAAAUGGAGGAUGGCGGACGGGUGAGUAACGCGUAAGGAACUUGCCUUUUGGACUGGGACAACUGUUGGAAACGACAGCUAAUACCGGAUAUUAUGAGAUCUUCGCAUGGAGAACUUAUGAAAGCUAUAUGCGCCAAAAGAGAGCCUUGCGUUCCAUUAGCUAGUUGGUGGGGUAAUGGCCCACCAAGGCGACGAUGGAUAGCCGGCCUGAGAGGGUGAACGGCCACAAGGGGGACUGAGACACGGCCCUUACUCCUACGGGAGGCAGCAGUGGGAAUAUUGGACAAUGGGCCACAAGCCUGAUCCAGCAAUUCUGUGUGCACGAUGACGGUCUUCGGAUUGUAAAGUGCUUUCAGUUGGGAAGAAAAGUGACGGUACCAACAGAAGAAGCGACGGCUAAAUAC